Molecule: ribosomal RNA, 484 nt
Filed under: uncultured bacterium
Lineage: Bacteria
Description: partial 16S ribosomal RNA
Rfam family: Bacterial small subunit ribosomal RNA
Source: RNAcentral
AUUGAACGCUGGCGGCAGGCCUAACACAUGCAAGUCGAGCGGAUGAAGGGAGCUUGCUCCUGGAUUCAGCGGCGGACGGGUGAGUAAUGCCUAGGAAUCUGCCUGGUAGUGGGGGAUAACGUCCGGAAACGGGCGCUAAUACCGCAUACGUCCUGAGGGAGAAAGUGGGGGAUCUUCGGACCUCACGCUAUCAGAUGAGCCUAGGUCGGAUUAGCUAGUUGGUGGGGUAAAGGCCUACCAAGGCGACGAUCCGUAACUGGUCUGAGAGGAUGAUCAGUCACACUGGAACUGAGACACGGUCCAGACUCCUGCGGGAGGCAGCAGUGGGGAAUAUUGGACAAUGGGCGAAAGCCUGAUCCAGCCAUGCCGCGUGUGUGAAGAAGGUCUUCGGAUUGUAAAGCACUUUAAGUUGGGAGGAAGGGCAGUAAGUUAAUCCCUUGCUGUUUUGACGUUACCAACAGAAUAAGCACCGGCUAACUUCGUG